Molecule: ribosomal RNA, 366 nt
Filed under: Rhizobium sp. Akar2
Lineage: Bacteria; Pseudomonadati; Pseudomonadota; Alphaproteobacteria; Hyphomicrobiales; Rhizobiaceae
Description: bacterial SSU rRNA
Rfam family: Bacterial small subunit ribosomal RNA
Source: RNAcentral
UGAUGAAAGCCUUAGGGUUGUAAAGCUCUUUCACCGAUGAAGAUAAUGACGGUAGUCGGAGAAGAAGCCCCGGCUAACUUCGUGCCAGCAGCCGCGGUAAUACGAAGGGGGCUAGCGUUGUUCGGAAUYACUGGGCGUAAAGCGCACGUAGGCGGAUAUUUAAGUCAGGGGUGAAAUCCCAGAGCUCAACUCUGGAACUGCCUUCUGAUACUGGGUAUCUUGAGUAUGGAAGAGGUAAGUGGAAUUGCGAGUGUAGAGGUGAAAUUCGUAGAUAUUCGCAGGAACACCAGUGGCGAAGGCGGCUUACUGGUCCAUUACUGACGCUGAGGUGCGAAAGCGUGGGGAGCAAACAGGAUUAGAUACCCU